Molecule: non-coding RNA, 826 nt
Organism: Cricetulus griseus (Chinese hamster)
Lineage: Eukaryota; Metazoa; Chordata; Mammalia; Rodentia; Cricetidae
Source: RefSeq, a predicted model, not a curated record
GUCUUGAAUUGACUAAGAACUGUUUGAUCUUUGCAGGAAUGCAGGCUGUGUGUGCUCUAGCCUCCAUUUCACAGAAGAGAUAACCAGAGGCCAGGCAAGUAAAUUACUCCUCAAAGUCCACCCAGAGAUCUGCCCCCGAACCAGGAGUUUUACGUACUUCCUGUCACUUGGUUCUGUGUGAGCAUCUCUUCUCCCCUUCCUGCCACCUCCCCACGUGUAGACGUGGGUGUGUUUGCACAAGUGUCUGGGUAUGCAUGUGGAGGCCAGAGGUCAACACUGGGAUUCUUCCUUUAUCAUCCGCCUCCCCAUUCAUUUUUUGAAAUAGGUUCUCUCACUGAACAUGGAGUUUGCUGACUCAUCCAGACUUCCUGGCCAGCAAGCCUCAGGGAUCCCUCUCCCUUGAGCUGGGAUUGCAGGGACAUCUACGUGUAACACUCCAUCCGAAGAAUGUGUGUGAGAUGUACGUGUGCUGCCUUCAGGCUAUGAAGCGCUGUCCAUCAUCUCUGCCUUUGCUCAGCUCCAGGCUGGAGGCUGACAGUGAGUGAAGACUCUGGAACUCAUGGAUAGUGGAGCAGCAGCUGUGUGCGGCUCAGAUUCCUGAGAAACUGCAAGAACAAUGCUGACUCUCUCCUGUCCCAACACAGAGCCAUGAUGCAGCUCUGAUAGGAACAUGAACUAAACCUUUAUUACAUAUUAAGCUAUUACAUAAAUGCGAGCUACAUCUUUAUUGUACAUUAAACUAUGCUGUGAAAAGGAACUAAGCCUUUAUUGUGUACUAAACUAUGAUGUGAAUAUGAAAUAAACCUUUACUGUGUUAUGCCGGUGA